This 253-nucleotide ribosomal RNA is filed under the name uncultured bacterium. Its description in RNAcentral is "partial 16S ribosomal RNA". It matches the Rfam family "Bacterial small subunit ribosomal RNA", at positions 524 to 776 of the family's 1533-position model. The record is from RNAcentral.
UACGAGGGGAGCAAGCGUUGUUCGGAUUUACUGGGCGUAAAGGGCGCGUAGGCGGCACUGCAAGUCAGUUGUGAAAUCUCCGGGCUUAACCCGGAAAGGUCAACUGAUACUGCAGGGCUAGAGUGCAGAAGGGGCAACUGGAAUUCUCGGUGUAGCGGUGAAAUGCGUAGAUAUCGAGAGGAACACCUGCGGCGAAGGCGGGUUGCUGGGCUGACACUGACGCUGAGGCGCGAAAGCCAGGGGAGCGAACGGG